AGAAUGAACGCUGGCGGCGCGCCUAAUACAUGCAAGUCGAGCGAGAAGACGUAGCAAUACGUUUGUAAAGCGGCGAACGGGUGAGGACUACAUGGGUAACCUACCCUCGAGUGGGGAAUAACUAGCCGAAAGGUUAGCUAAUACCGCGUACGCUUCUUGGACUUCGGUUCAGGGAGGAAAGCGAUCGCGAAGGUAUCGCGCUUCGUUGGAUGGGCUCGACUGUCCUAUCUAGUCGUUGUUAGGUAGAGGUAACGGCUACGACCUAAGGCGUUCGACGGUAGCUGGUCUGGACGAGACGAGUCCAGCCACGACUGGCACGUACGACCGGACCACGGGCCUACGAACCGUCCGUACGGGAAGGCC
This 363-nucleotide ribosomal RNA is filed under the name uncultured soil bacterium. RNAcentral's name for it is "bacterial SSU rRNA". It matches the Rfam family "Bacterial small subunit ribosomal RNA", at positions 26 to 345 of the family's 1533-position model. The record is from RNAcentral.